GCCGGUGGUCGCCUGCACCGCCUGCUUGUGCCGGAAGUCCGGCCGGAGGUGCUUUUGCCGGCGUCUUCUUCUUCUGGCAACCUCGCCCGCGACCUACUGAUGUUGGCCACCACUCGAAGCCGCUGCAUCCAGGUGAAGCCUCUCUCCUCCUCUUAUUCCAUCUGUUCUUGCUAAAAUUUGUAGCUUUUCUCCCGUUGAACGUGUAGAGGAAGUCACAAGCAUCUGAAUAUUGUUCAGUCUGUUAGAUAGUGUUGUUCAGCUGAGCUAUUCUUCAGGUCACGCCUAAACUAAUUGUUAAACAAUUGACGGAUGUAUGCCCAUUUAGCAGGAACGGAUGUACAGGAUUUUUAAUGUGUUCCAGCCUUCCAUGUAUAUAUCAGUCCUUGUAUGCAUAAGAUAAAUUUUCGAUCUGACAGGACAAUAUAAUGUCACCAAGAAUUUUAAUAAAAAUCCAAUUUUGAAUGUCUAUGUUCAUUGAUUUUGUCUCCGGUUCCUUAUGCUGCCGGGUGUGUGUGGAUGCACCAACAAGUGAGCGGUUCCGCAGCUCUUUUAUGUGUUUAAAAUUAACCAAAAUAGCAAACUAAUUCCUAGUACCUCUAGGUUGCAUCUGUUUGUGUGUGAGUCGACACUCUACAGUCUACAUGUACACGUAUAGAAAUUAGCCUAGUAUGUCCAUGUCUAUUAGUUAUCCAUACCUUGCUUGCAAAGCCUAUCUAGUGUAACAUGCUCUCAGCAUGUAUAUGCAGCAGAUAGACUAGGUACCCUCGUAGUAUGAGUUUGUUGCUAAUCUGUUGUAGUACGAGUGUAUUUUCCCCUAUCUCCUUUACCUAUUUAUUACCUCAUCGUGGAAGAAUACAGUCAUUGGUUCUCCAUCUCUUGUAGUUUAUUUGCUUCCUGUUACAUUAAUCUACAUGCUCAGACUUUUCCCAUUUUAAUAUUCAGAGUUCUGCACUUACAGGAUCACUCACGGCAAGAGAUCGAACAGCUGCGGCGUUUGACGGUGGGCUGCGGGAGGGGCUCUCUGUGUUGCCGAGAUGGUGGCGGGGAGGCACUGAUCACGAAUCAGUGUUCCCCUGCCCUGGCUGCUGCUCCCUGCAGUAUGGCCGGAGCUGCUGCCGCUGGCGUCUUCCGGCAACCACACCAUCUUCUACUGCCGGCCUGCACUCUGAGCUGCUACUGCCUCGUGAGGCAAAGCAUGAAGCUUUUUUGCUAAUAACCACAAUGAUCAGCGUACUGUUGAUAAAAGUGGGAACAUAAUCCCUGGCACUGUUAUUGAUUCGAAGAAUUGCCAUCAUGCAGAGUUUGAUUUCUAUUUGUGUAGUCAUGCUGGCAUUCAGCUGCAUGUUGUUGCAUGAUUGAAAGCUCUCUCUUUCCUUUAAUGUCCUCUGCUCCAAGUGCAAGGGCAAUGGCUCUAAGUCUGGUGCUUCCAUGAGCUGGCUAGGUUGCCAGAGUUCAGGCAUGAAAGUGACUAUCCACAUCUGGAGCCUUCCAUGAUACGGCAGAUGUAAAGUCUGGCAGUGUCUUGGGUUCUUUUCCGCUAGCAGGCUGCUAGUAGAGAUGCUCUUGUGGUGGGUUUUGUUAGUUUGUGUAUAUAUGGCCAUGUGAUGGCAACUGCCCUGCCUUGACAUGGACUGUUUCUUCACAAGCGAUUCAGCUUUGGUAUGUCAUGGGAUGGCUAGGAGCUUUGAACUCUUCAAAAUUGCAGGCAGUGUGUCAGGUUCAUUUCCCCUAGCAGGCUGCCAGUAGAGAUGCUGUUGUGGUGGAUUUUGUUAGGUGGUGUAUAUAUUAUGUCCAUUCGAUAGCAGCUGCCGCUGCCCUCCCCUGCCUUGACAUGAGUUGUUUCUUUCUUCACAAGCGAUUCAGGUUUGGUAUGUCAUGGGAAGGCUAGGAGAUUUCAACUCUUCAAAUUUGGUGUUUGUUGGAGGCUUUCCCCAGUUCCUGUACUACUGGUUUUUACAAUGAACGAAUUUGAUGAGAAGAGUUGUGGUGUUGAUAAUUGGUUGUAGAAUGUAGACAGACAGUUAACACCUUGUUUUGAUUGGUUAUACUAGGUAGGAACAAGUAAAUCCGUAGCUGGUAUGCUUAUUACUGGAUCAUUGAUUUCUUGUCUCCCGGGGACACUUGCAUACUUAUCUGAUGCGUCAUCAUAUGAAACUGCAGACUCUUGGCGGCGAGGAGGUGCUAGCCUUUGGAAGGUGUUUGUAUUUGCAGCAGGAUGAGGAAGGGUAUCGCUGGUACCAAGAUGGAUGGAUGCGUGGCAGUGUACGUAAUGUCCUGGUUUCGAUGGCUCUCUCACGGCUGCUGGUGUUUGUGUGGGCGACGUUCGAGGUCCGGUGGGUUCCUCCUUUUAUGGAUGUAUUAUGUGUAUAGAUGCAUACAAAUUUAGACAAACUUGUGACCCCCUCCCUUUUAUGGACGGAGGGAGUAGUUAAGUAACUGUACUCCCUUUAUUUCAAAAUGAAUAAGGUUCAAUUGUUUCUUCUUUGACUAAGAAUUACUUAUAAAAUAUACAAAGGUUUUUGGUA
Molecule: long non-coding RNA, 2525 nt
Organism: Lolium rigidum
Lineage: Eukaryota; Viridiplantae; Streptophyta; Magnoliopsida; Poales; Poaceae
Exons: 7
Source: RefSeq, a predicted model, not a curated record